AACGAACGCUGGCGGCAUGCCUAACACAUGCAAGUCGAACGAGACCUUCGGGUCUAGUGGCGCACGGGUUCGUAACGCGUGGGAACCUGCCCUUAGGUUCGGAAUAACUCCCCGAAAGGGGUGCUAAUACCGGAUAAUGUCUUCGGACCAAAGAUUUAUCGCCUUUGGAUGGGCCCGCGUUGGAUUAGCUAGUUGGUAGGGUAAAAGCCUACCAAGGCGACGAUCCAUAGCUGGUCUGAGAGGAUGAUCAGGCACACUGGGACUGAGACACGGCCCAGACUCCUACGGGAGGCAGCAGUGGGGGAUAUUGGACAAUGGGCGAAAGCCUGAUCCAGCAAUGCCGCGUGAGUGAUGAAGGCCUUAGGGUCGGAAAGCUCUUUUAACCGGGAUGAUAAUGACAGGUCCGGGAGAAUAAGCUCCGGCUAACUCCGUG
RNAcentral lists this ribosomal RNA (433 nucleotides) under uncultured bacterium. Its description in RNAcentral is "partial 16S ribosomal RNA". It matches the Rfam family "Bacterial small subunit ribosomal RNA", at positions 29 to 507 of the family's 1533-position model. The record is from RNAcentral.